Molecule: unclassified non-coding RNA, 1119 nt
Filed under: Hevea brasiliensis (rubber tree)
Lineage: Eukaryota; Viridiplantae; Streptophyta; Magnoliopsida; Malpighiales; Euphorbiaceae
Source: RNAcentral
CUCGCUCUCUCUCUCUCUCUCUCUCUCUCAAGCUGAAUUGCAACGGAUUUUUCAAGUCUCUCUCAGAAAUUGAACUCAAGAAAAAGCAUCUCCUAUGUCUACUUUGGGGAAUUCUACAAAUAUAUUUUGGCACGAAUGCCCAGUUGGGGAGUCUGAGAGGCAGAAACUACUUAACCAGAAGGGAUGUGUUGUAUGGAUAACGGGCCUUAGUGGAUCAGGUAAAAGCACACUGGCAUGCUCACUAAGCAGGGAACUACACUCUAGGGGGAAGCUGUCCUAUGUUCUUGAUGGAGAUAACCUUCGUCAUGGGCUGAACAAAGGUCUGGGUUUCAGUGCUGAAGAUCGAACUGAAAAUAUCCGCAGGGUUGGUGAAGUAGCAAAACUCUUUGCAGAUGCCGGUUUGAUAUGCAUUGCUAGUCUGAUAUCACCAUACAGAAAAGAUCGGGAUGCUUGCCGUGCAAUGUUGACUGAUGCAAAUUUUAUUGAGGUUUUCAUGAACAUGCCUCUGUCAUUGUGUGAGUUGAGAGAUCCUAAAGGCCUUUACAAGCUUGCACGUGCCGGAAAGAUUAAAGGUUUUACUGGCAUAGAUGAUCCUUAUGAACCACCUUUGAAUUGCGAGAUAGAAAUACAAGAGAAAGAUGGAGUUUGCCCCUCACCAUCUACCAUGGCUGGACAAGUAGUAUCCUACUUGGAAGACAAAGGAUUUCUACAUCAGUGAUCAACUCCACUAACUUUGCAUCAUCAUUGUCAUAAACUCGUCGAACAAAUAAUUUUUCAAGUGUUCAUGUCCUAUCCAUUUUAAAACUGCCUGGCUAAGGGUGCCAGCAAGUUCUAACGACAUCACGUGGGAUGUGUUUGGAACGGAUGAUAUAUAUUUCAAAUAGUACAUUUUGGUUGUUUUUCUAGACUGAUAGGGCACCAUUGAUACCGUUGAAUCAUGGAGACUUCUCUUAUCUGGGUUCAUUCCGAACAACCCAUUAUUCUGAUCAAAAUUUUCAUCUUAGAUAUUUACUCGUCCAAAUGGAUAUCAAUUGUAUUCAUCACAUUGAUUAUGAAUAUAAGUUAUACUUAAAUAUCGAAUAUAAUUGAUGUCCUUUUUUUUUUUUUUUUUUUUUUUUU